CGAUAUUUAAAAUAUACAACCAAAAACAUGGCCGUAAAGAUAACGACGCUGUUACCAUAAUCUCAUUCCAGCUAGAGUGCUCACCGCCUUGACAAAUGCCAUAUUCCAGAGGUGACAAUCGGCCAUCUUCUGUCCGGGGUUCGGCCCGGACUAUCGCGCCGAAAUUUUUCCAUCUAAGAAAUAUGUUCAUAACUUUCGAGACGUUCCUGCAUCAGGCGGUUCGAUUGACAUUUUUAUCGAUACACUGAAAAUUUGUAACUUACUGGAAAAAAUUGGCCAUUCACAACAAAAAUAUACGCAAUGAAUGACAAAAAGUAAACAGAAAAAAAAAUAUUUAUAAAUUUGGCAACAAAUUUUAUUACAUAUUAGACGGCAACGAACUUUUGUCCAUAAAACUAUCGAAAGCAAAGAAUUAUGUGAGUUGAUUACAUAUUUAGUUUCACUAUUUUAUCGUGUGGAAAUCUGGCGUUACUGUAAAAACUACGACAUGAAAAGAAUAUGAUUGCAAAUGUUUUGUGGGUAGGAAUGAG
Long non-coding RNA from Drosophila willistoni, 530 nucleotides. RefSeq lists it as uncharacterized. NCBI's taxonomy places the organism in Eukaryota, Metazoa, Arthropoda, Insecta, Diptera, Drosophilidae. The transcript is spliced from 3 exons. The record is from RefSeq and is a predicted model, not a curated record.